CGCGGAGUAGAGCAGGGGCAGCUCGUCGGGCUCAUAACCCGGAGGUCGGGGGUUCGAAUCCUUCCUCCGCAACCA
RNAcentral lists this transfer RNA (75 nucleotides) under Ruminiclostridium sp. RNAcentral describes it as "tRNA-Met". It matches the Rfam family "tRNA". Rfam says of the family: Transfer RNA (tRNA) molecules are approximately 80 nucleotides in length. Their secondary structure includes four short double-helical elements and three loops (D, anti-codon, and T loops). Lineage: Bacteria; Bacillati; Bacillota; Clostridia; Eubacteriales; Oscillospiraceae. The record is from RNAcentral.